AGACUGUGAUCAAUAGCUGAUUUGAGAGGAUGAUCAGCCACAUUGGGACUGAGACACGGCCCAAACUCCUACGGGAGGCAGCAGUGGGGAAUCUUGCACAAUGGAGGAAACUCUGAUGCAGCGAUGCCGCGUGAGUGAAGAAGGCCUUUGGGUUGUAAAGCUCUUUCGUCGGGGAAGAAAAUGACUGUACCCGAAUAAGAAGGUCCGGCUAACUUCGUGCCAGCAGCCGCGGUAAUACGAAGGGACCUAGCGUAGUUCGGAAUUACUGGGCUUAAAGAGUUCGUAGGUGGUUGAAAAAGUUGGUGGUGAAAUCCCAGAGCUUAACUCUGGAACUGCCAUCAAAACUUUUCAGCUAGAGUAUGAUAGAGGAAAGCAGAAUUUCUAGUGUAGAGGUGAAAUUCGUAGAUAUUAGAAAGAAUACCAAUUGCGAAGGCAGCUUUCUGGAUCAUUACUGACACUGAGGAACGAAAGCAUGGGUAGCGAAGAGGAUUAGAUACCCUCGUAGUCCAUGCCGUAAACGAUGUGUGUUAGACGUUGGAAAUUUAUUUUCAGUGUCGCAGCGAAAGCGAUAAACACACCGCCUGGGGAGUACGACCGCAAGGUUAAAACUCAAAUGAAUUGACGGGGACCCGCACAAGUAGUGGAGCAUGUGGUUUAAUUCGAAGAUACGCGCAGAACCUUACCAACACUUGACAUGUUCGUCGCGACUUUAAGAGAUUAAAGUUUUCGGUUCGGCCGGACGAAACACAGGUGCUGCAUGGCUGUCGUCAGCUCGUGUCGUGAGAUGUUGGGUUAAGUCCCGCAACGAGCGCAACCCUCACUUUUAGUUGCCAUCAUUAAGUUGGGCACUCUGAAAGAACUGCCAGUGAUAAGCUGGAGGAAGGUGGGGAUGACGUCAAGUCCUCAUGGCCCUUACGUGUUGGGCUACACACGUGCUACAAUGGUAUCUACAACAGGAAGCAAAA
RNAcentral lists this ribosomal RNA (965 nucleotides) under marine metagenome. RNAcentral's name for it is "bacterial SSU rRNA". It matches the Rfam family "Bacterial small subunit ribosomal RNA", at positions 271 to 1254 of the family's 1533-position model. The record is from RNAcentral.